AGAGUUUGAUCCUGGCUCAGGACGAACGCUGGCGGCGUGCCUAAUACAUGCAAGUAGAACGCUGAAGGAGGAGCUUGCUUCUCUGGAUGAGUUGCGAACGGGUGAGUAACGCGUAGGUAACCUGCCUGGUAGCGGGGGAUAACUAUUGGAAACGAUAGCUAAUACCGCAUAAGAGUGGAUGUUGCAUGACAUUUGCUUAAAAGGUGCACUUGCAUCACUACCAGAUGGCCCUGCGUUGUAUUAGCUAGUUGGUGGGGUAACGGCUCACCAAGGCGACGAUACAUAGCCGACCUGAGAGGGUGAUCGGCCACACUGGGAUUGAGACACGGCCCAGACUCCUACGGGAGGCAGCAGUAGGGAAUCUUCGGCAAUGGACGGAAGUCUGACCGAGCAACGCCGCGUGAGUGAAGAAGGUUUUCGGAUCGUAAAGCUCUGUUGUAAGAGAAGAACGAGUGUGAGAGUGGAAAGUUCACACUGUGACGGUAUCUUACCAGAAAGGGACGGCUAACUACGUGCCAGCAGCCGCGGUAAUACGUAGGUCCCGAGCGUUGUCCGGAUUUAUUGGGCGUAAAGCGAGCGCAGGCGGUUAGAUAAGUCUGAAGUUAAAGGCUGUGGCUUAACCAUAGUAGGCUUUGGAAACUGUUUAACUUGAGUGCAAGAGGGGAGAGUGGAAUUCCAUGUGUAGCGGUGAAAUGCGUAGAUAUAUGGAGGAACACCGGGGGCGAAAGCGGCUCUCUGGCUUGUAACUGACGCUGAGGCUCGAAAGCGUGGGGAGCAAACAGGAUUAGAUACCCUGGUAGUCCACGCUGUAAACGAUGAGUGCUAGGUGUUAGACCCUUUCCGGGGUUUAGUGCCGUAGCUAACGCAUUAAGCACUCCGCCUGGGGAGUACGACCGCAAGGUUGAAACUCAAAGGAAUUGACGGGGGCCCGCACAAGCGGUGGAGCAUGUGGUUUAAUUCGAAGCAACGCGAAGAACCUUACCAGGUCUUGACAUCCCUCUGACCGCUCUAGAGAUAGAGCUUUCCUUCGGGACAGAGGUGACAGGUGGUGCAUGGUUGUCGUCAGCUCGUGUCGUGAGAUGUUGGGUUAAGUCCCGCAACGAGGGCAACCCCUAUUGUUAGUUGCCAUCAUUUAGUUGGGCACUCUAGCGAGACUGCCGGUAAUAAACCGGAGGAAGGUGGGGAUGACGUCAAAUCAUCAUGCCCCUUAUGACCUGGGCUACACACGUGCUACAAUGGCUGGUACAACGAGUCGCAAGCCGGUGACGGCAAGCUAAUCUCUUAAAGCCAGUCUCAGUUCGGAUUGUAGGCUGCAACUCGCCUACAUGAAGUCGGAAUCGCUAGUAAUCGCGGAUCAGCACGCCGCGGUGAAUACGUUCCCGGGCCUUGUACACACCGCCCGUCACACCACGAGAGUUUGUAACACCCGAAGUCGGCGAGGUAACCGUAAGGAGCCAGCCGCCUAAGGUGGGAUAGAUGAUUGGGGUGAAGUCGUAACAAGGUAGCCGUAUCGGAAGGUGCGGCUGGAUCACCU
This 1534-nucleotide ribosomal RNA is filed under the name Streptococcus pneumoniae. RNAcentral's name for it is "bacterial SSU rRNA". It matches the Rfam family "Bacterial small subunit ribosomal RNA". The record is from RNAcentral. Lineage: Bacteria; Bacillati; Bacillota; Bacilli; Lactobacillales; Streptococcaceae.